GUGCUCACACCUGCAGCACAUAUACUAAAAUGAGAAUGCUAGAGAAGCUUAGCCUAGUCCCUGUGCAUGGAUGAUGUACAUGUUUGUGAAGUGUUUCAUAUUUUU
Molecule: small nuclear RNA, 105 nt
Organism: Suricata suricatta (meerkat)
Lineage: Eukaryota; Metazoa; Chordata; Mammalia; Carnivora; Herpestidae
Source: Ensembl